Molecule: ribosomal RNA, 459 nt
Filed under: Thiomonas arsenitoxydans
Lineage: Bacteria; Pseudomonadati; Pseudomonadota; Betaproteobacteria; Burkholderiales
Description: bacterial SSU rRNA
Rfam family: Bacterial small subunit ribosomal RNA
Source: RNAcentral
CAGGAACUUACCAGAGAUGGUUUGGUGCUCGAAAGAGAGCCUGGACACAGGUGCUGCAUGGCUGUCGUCAGCUCGUGUCGUGAGAUGUUGGGUUAAGUCCCGCAACGAGCGCAACCCUUGUCAUUAGUUGCUACGCAAGAGCACUCUAAUGAGACCGCCGGUGACAAACCGGAGGAAGGUGGGGAUGACGUCAAGUCCUCAUGGCCCUUAUGGGUAGGGCUACACACGUCAUACAAUGGGCGGUACAGAGGGUUGCCAACCCGCGAGGGGGAGCCAAUCCCUUAAAGCCGCUCGUAGUCCGGAUUGUAGUCUGCAACUCGACUGCAUGAAGUCGGAAUCGCUAGUAAUCGCGGAUCAGCUUGCCGCGGUGAAUACGUUCCCGGGUCUUGUACACACCGCCCGUCACACCAUGGAAGUGGGGUUUUCCAGAAGUAGUUAGCUUAACCGCAAGGGGGGCGA